Molecule: long non-coding RNA, 571 nt
Filed under: Olea europaea subsp. europaea
Lineage: Eukaryota; Viridiplantae; Streptophyta; Magnoliopsida; Lamiales; Oleaceae
Source: RNAcentral
CAAAACAGAAAAGUUUAUUUAUUUUUCAUCCGUUCAACCUACCCUCUGGGAUUUCAACAACGAUUGCCAAAGAGAACUAUUGAAAAUGUCAAAUGGUGGCACCACCAAUUCCGGCACCAAUGGCAGCCCAAUAUACGGCGACCCCACCAGCACUCACCAGACCCGUGUUCCUGACUUAAUAAACGACGCCGAGAAAUCAUUAGAUCAUGUGCAGAUUUUUUGCUAUAAUUCUUGAGAAGAUGAUGAAGUUGAUUUGCAUUGUGAUGCUAAGUAGUUGGCCGAUGACAGGAAUUGACGAUAUUGACGAGUAGAGAUGGAGGCGGUUCACUAUAUGUUGUUUGGAUAGAGAGGUUACUGGUUUGGCGAGAUGGUAGAUGCUGACUGUGCAUGUUAUAGCCGACGAUUGACGAGUUGAGUCUUGGAAUGGUGGCCGUAGGCUAGGUAUGGUUCGUAGGAUUGAGGAAGGUGUUGUAGGUUAUAGGUCGGGUCAAUGGUUGUAGAUUUGGUUGAGCUUGGUUGAUUGAGUGUAUGUAGAUUGUAACUGGGCUGUGUAUAUGUUAUAUGAGUUGGG